AAUAGAUACCCGGGUAGUCCACGCCGUAAACGAUGAAUGCUAGGUGUCAGGGGUUUUGAUACCCUUGGUGCCGAAGUUAACACAUUAAGCAUUCCGCCUGGGGAGUACGGUCGCAAGACUGAAACUCAAAGGAAUUGACGGGGACCCGCACAAGCAGUGGAGUAUGUGGUUUAAUUCGAAGCAAUGCGAAGAACCUUACCAGGUCUUGACAUCCCUCUGAAUACGCUAGAGAUAGGGUAGGCCCCUUCGGGGGACAGAGGAGACAGGUGGUGCAUGGUUGUCGUCAGCUCGUGUCGUGAGAUGUUGGGUUAAGUCCCGCAACGAGCGCAACCCUUGUUCUUAGUUGCCAGCACGAGAGGGUGGGCACUCUAAGGAGACUGCCGGUGACAAACCGGAGGAAGGUGGGGAUGACGUCAAAUCAUCAUGCCCCUUAUGACCUGGGCUACACACGUACUACAAUGGCCGGUACAAUGGGAAGCGAAGCCGCGAGGCGGAGCCAAUCCCGACAAGCCGGUCUCAGUUCGGAUUGCAGGCUGCAACUCG
RNAcentral lists this ribosomal RNA (543 nucleotides) under uncultured bacterium. RNAcentral describes it as "bacterial SSU rRNA". It matches the Rfam family "Bacterial small subunit ribosomal RNA", at positions 777 to 1314 of the family's 1533-position model. The record is from RNAcentral.